CGUGGUGUGUAGCGGUUGGGUGGGUCGAGUUGUCUCUCCACAUGGUGUAAGGUAAUCCCCAACCAUAGUGGGCUUGGAGUUGUGAGGGAAUUCGGAGUGGCCACCUGUUCUGAAAGUUUGAUUUUCUUCUGGUGAAUUGGACAUUCUUUUAAUUAUAUUUGAGGUUUUGGGCUUUUAAAUGUAAUAAGGCCGCUUAAUUAUUUUUAAUGGUUUUAAUAUAUAUUACUAAGAUAGGUAUUACUUAUUUUAACUGUUGAAAUUGGAUAGCUUUAGGGCGCGUUUUCAAAAACAACAGUUGAUUUCAAAAUAACACAACAACAAGCAAAGCUUCCGCAAUGAAAGUAUUUUCCAAAAUUAAUCACUUUUCCUAAAAAUGACUUAAUCAAAUCGGUUUCCUAGAAAUAUCCAUGACGUUAAGGUGUGGCAAUGGCGGUAUGCAUGUCUAGGAUUGGAUCCGAAGGAAGCUUGGUACUUAAAUAGUCCGAUGGACUCACCACCUCUUUUCCGGUUUCCUACCUGAUCCGGCUAUAACUUCUGGGCCGGGUUUGGGGUGCUACAUGCAUGCAGGCCAGUUUCCAACAAGAAUCAUGCGUGAUAAACUUAUAAGUGGAUUUAACAAUAAACUUACCAUGGUUAGAGCAUCUAAAGAUCAACUCAGCAUUGUUGACUAAAGGGAUUGGACAUGAAACAGCCACAAU
This is a long non-coding RNA of Gossypium arboreum, 698 nucleotides long. RefSeq lists it as uncharacterized. Lineage: Eukaryota; Viridiplantae; Streptophyta; Magnoliopsida; Malvales; Malvaceae. The record is from RefSeq and is a predicted model, not a curated record. The transcript is spliced from 3 exons.